This 259-nucleotide ribosomal RNA is filed under the name uncultured bacterium. RNAcentral describes it as "partial 16S ribosomal RNA". It matches the Rfam family "Bacterial small subunit ribosomal RNA", at positions 333 to 609 of the family's 1533-position model. The record is from RNAcentral.
UUUUUCCUACGGGGGGCAGCAGUGGGGAAUAUUGCACAAUGGGGGAAACCCUGAUGCAGCGACGCCGCGUGAGCGAAGAAGUAUCUCGGUAUGUAAAGCUCUAUCAGCAGGGAAGAAAAUGACGGUACCUGACUAAGAAGCCCCGGCUAACUACGUGCCAGCAGCCGCGGUAAUACGUAGGGGGCAAGCGUUAUCCGGAUUUACUGGGUGUAAAGGGAGCGCAGGCGGCGCGGUAAGUCUGAUGUGAAAGCCCGGGGCU